AUGGUCGAUCUUCGUUGGAUCGUACUUGGUGAUUUUAAUGAAAUCCUCUUGGGACGUGAGAAGGAAGGCGGGGCACUGAGGUCCCAAAGAAAUAUGCAGAAUUUUCGUGAUGCACUGGAUGAUUGUAACUUGUUUGAUAUGGGUUACGUCGGGGACAUCUUCACAUGGCGAAGGGGAAGGAUCCGGGAGAGGCUUGACCGGGCUGUAUGUGACCAACGAUGGGAUAAUCUUUUCCCUCUGGCUGGGGUGAUCCAUGGAGAUUUCUCCAAAUCAGAUCACAGACCGAUAGGGGUCUAUACGGAGUACCAGAGUAAUGUAAGGGCAACACCUAUAGUCCGGAAACAAUUUUUUAAAGCUCGGUGGCUAGUCGAGGAAACUGUUGAUGAUGUGGUGGGCCAAGCGUGGGCAGCUGCUAACUCCAGCCCAGGGGGGCUGGCCCAAAAGGUGCGGGAGGUGCACUCGGCCCUGCAUGCAUGGGACAGGCAGGUUCUGAAGGAACCGCGGCACCAGCUGCGGACGCUGCAAGAUGAGCUUAACCAGAUCAUGUCAGGGCCUCUCACUGAUGAGGCGACUGCAAAGAUUCAGGAAUUGCAGUUGAAGAUUGAAAAUGUCCAUGAAAAGGGGGAGAUCAAAUACCUUCAGAGAAGUCAUGCGACUUGGCUGAAACAAGGAGACCGAAAUACUAGUUUCUUUCAAAAUUUCGCUUCUAUGCGGAGGAAGAUCAAUUGUAUUAAAAAACUCAAGGAUGGGAAUGGAGACUGGAUUGAGGGCCCUGCUGCUUUAAAGUCACAUAUUCCAGCAUCUCUUUUCUAG
RNAcentral lists this ribosomal RNA (813 nucleotides) under Triticum aestivum (bread wheat). Its description in RNAcentral is "partial small subunit ribosomal RNA". Lineage: Eukaryota; Viridiplantae; Streptophyta; Magnoliopsida; Poales; Poaceae. The record is from RNAcentral.